AUGGACUGGCGGCGGGCAGGGAGCCCAACAUACGGCCGGCGACGCUCGCCAGCGGAGAUGUAUUCCGCCCCGGCGUCCCCGGCACACCCCCUGGGUCCAGCCACGUCGUCACCGGUACACCCUCUGGCGGCGCGGUCCAAGGCGCGCGCCGCGGCGGCGCUGGCGCAUGUCAUGUCGCGCCCAGGCGCGCGAGUCGCCGCCGCAGACUCCGACUCCGACGAGAACGGGUACGGAGACGACGACGGCAGCACCAACGGGCGUUACGGCGGCGGCCGGAGCCCCUUGCACGGGUACGUUGCAAAGAGCGCCGGCGGCGUCAAGGACAAGUUCUUCGGGAUGGCGUUGCCCAAGACACCACACGAGCUCAAGAUGAUGAUAACAUGGCCAUUGCCGGCGAGAGCUCGGACAAGACCACACAUGAGGCAAGAUAGGGGGAUAGCAGUCCGUACGGGGAGAGGAAGGGUCAUGGGGAGAAGAAAUUAUGUCUUGAAGAAUUCUUUCAUUGGUCCUUUCAAAAAAAAAAUCCAUCCGGCCGCUGCCGCUGUGCCAUAUGCGCACAAGGCCAGCAUGGCCCGAGCGUCUGGACCAGGCCUCAUCGCGCGUCCCCCAAUGGGCCUCCGCACCCGAGCUGACCUGGUCGCUCCGUCCUUUUGCUCGAGUCGCACGCCCACUGCGCUCGCGUGUCACGCCGCCGCCAGCCUUCCCGUCCGUCAACGCCAAAUUUCCAACCUGCCCUCUCUUUCCGACCCAAACGCGAGGCUCUGAGGGCAGAGAGAGAGAGAGAGAGAGAGGAGAACGAGUCAAACAAAAGUCAAAGCUACAGAAAUGGACGCAGGCCGGGCCAGCGGCGUCGGCCCCGCCCGGAGGCCACGACCCGCCGCCGCGGCGUCGGAUCCCCGGCGCGCGGCUGCGGCGCGGGAGGCCAUGUUGCGCAUGGAGGAGGUCAUGAUGGCCCACGCGGGCGCGGCGGGCGAGUUCAGCAUGAUCAUCGAAGCUCCGCUCCCCAACCUCCAGCGCUACCGCCGCAACGCGACGCCUCCUGCGGCCCCGUCGUCUGACUCUCCCUCGCGGAGGCGCGGCGGACCUCAUGACCCCGGCGCGAGGGACGACGUCCCCACGCGAUUGCGGCGCGAGGGAAGCGUGACCGAGGACGUCGGCAACGCUCGGGGGGUACGCGGCGGGGAGGACAUGGGCUACGCGGACGACGCGCGCUCGCGUCGCGGCACCGGGGACGCUCGAGGGGCGCGACCUGCAAGCACUCGCGGCCGGGAGGAAGAGUCGGAGGCGCCGGUGCGGAUGAGAGACCCGCGGAGGGAGAGCGGCCGUCUCAGCGCGCCUCCUGGGAGGGUCGUCGAGGCGCAGCCAGACGUCGCGUCGGCCGUGGAGGAGGAGACACCACUGCAGCAGCUGUCACGCGGAGCGCGGAGUUCGAGCGCGGAUAGGCGCGUGGAAGCGGCACCGGAGGCGGAGGCGAUGGCCGCGAGACCAUCAAGCCGAGGAUCGAGGCGGGAGGGCAGUCGGGAUGCCGUGGUGAAUCCUAUUGUUACUGAGCCGGCGGUGGAGGCGUUGGCUGCCAGACCACCAAGCCGACGAUCGAGGCGGGAUGGCAGCGGGGACGACGCUGUGAAUCCUAUUGUUGCUGAGCCGGCCGUGGAGGUGUUGGCUGUCAGACCACCGAGCCGGCGAUCGAGGCGGGAGGGCAGUGGGGAGGCCGUUGUGAAUGCUAUUGUUGCCGAGCCCGAGCUGGAGGCCGAUGUGGAGAGUGUCGGGUGGGGUAGCAGCCGAGGGAGUGAGGAUGGAGGCGAGGAGCCGGUGGCGUUGCCAAAGCCGCUGGAGUCAAUACUCACCGGAGGCCGUAGCAGGAGCAACUCACCGGCCAUAAGUAAUGUCAACGAUGAUCAAUCGCACCAAUUUCUUGGAAUUUACUGUGAACCAAUUUGCUCAAACUAGGCUAAACAUAAUUUCUUUUAUAAACCGAGGCAAAUUUCUUCCAUAGCAGUGCUAGCAGGUAAGGGGGGCAUUUAGUUGACAAAGCAUACAAACUGCAUCAGGGGUUUAAGUGGUAGAGCUCAUUUUGUCUGAAAAUCUCUCCUGGUUGAAGUUGCUGCCACCACCCAUUUGAAGAUCCAUCCUACCCCAGCAAGAUUGUCCGAAAGGGCACGAACCAAGGAGAAGAUCACGAGUUUCAACCAUGUUGCCUGAGUGGAGAACACACCUGUUGCUAUCAGAAACUUGUCAGUUUUUCAUUUCCAUAAUGUCCCUAGUGUUCAGCCUGUCAUUAAUUAGGAGGCAAGCAAAUCCCUUGAGCUUGGAAGUGCACGUAUAAGUCCAGAGCCGCUUCAUGAUCCGCGGGCAUUGAUCGUGGGUGAACAACAGAUUAUACCAAAUCAGCCAGAGCGAUGUGGAGAGGACCAAGAAUGGUCAGAGUUGGAGCUGGUCUGAAGGCUGAGAAAUCUCCCCUGAAGAUCUGAAAUUCAUCGAUGUUGAUGUAAAAAUCGGCAGAAUUGUUUGUCACCUAAUGUUUUUGUUUGUCAAUAACAGGAAUUGUAGUUGGUAGGUUGUUUUCAUGGUGGUGCUGCAUUUGAUGUUUCUUUUUGGUAGAAUUUAAGCUUGUUGUGCUUCAUGCUGAAUGGUAAAAAAGUAAACGGAUGGAAAACUUGAUUUGACUUUUGAUUGUCUUUAAGUACUGAACUAUUGAUGCAUGUGCAUGAUAACCUGAUUAUAAUAAUUGAAGGAUGAUGUGCUUUUCAGAAUUUCAGUUUUCAGUUCUAUGAAUUGGCCGGCUUAUUAUAUUUGUCCUCGUUUACCUAGUUAGGUCGGAACGGUGUGGACUCUGGUGUAGCAAAUCGCGCACAAUCAACAGGAAGGUCAAGUUUUGUACCACCUGUUGGGGCUAAUGUGAGGCCUCUACAAGCUGUGGAGGUGCCCAAUGGGACACCUAGAGAAAGAAGGACAAUCUAUCCAGAUCCUACUUUCGCGCAGUCCGGUCGAUCAAGAGAUUCACAUGACAGUUCAACACUAACAGAAGAGGUUGAGAUGCUCAAAGAUGAGAAUGUGAAUCUUUUGGAAAAGCUUGGACUAGCAGAAGAGAAAUUUAGACAAUCUGAAGCUCGGACAAGGGAGCUUGAGAAACAGGUUGCUAAUCUUGGUGAUGGAUUAUCUAUGGAAGUUAAACUUAUGAAAAGGAGGGAGGAGAUGCUAGUGAGGAAGGAGCAAGAAAUAAGGAAAGCGCUUAUAUCCAAAAAUGAUAAAAGCGAGGAAAUCACCACUCUUCAACAACAGCUCCAGUCUGCAAGUGAAAAGGCUGCAGUUGCUGAGCGGAAACUCAAUGAGGCUGAAUCUGAAACAAAAGCCUUACGCACAAUGACACAGAGGAUGAUCUUAAGCAAAGAAGAAAUGGAAGAAGUUGUUAUGAAGAGAUGUUGGCUUGCCCGUUACUGGGGCUUGGCUGUCCAAUAUGGCAUCUAUCCAGACAUCUCUAUGUCAAAAUAUGAAUACUGGUCUUCGUUUGCUCCUCUUCCCCUCGAGUAUGUGACAUCAGCUGGACUGAGAGCUAAGGAUGGAGGUAGUAAUGAUUUGGAAGAAACAGACAUGCUUGUUCAUGAUUUGACUGUCACAGCAGGAGAAGGCAACAUAGAAACAAUGCUUGCUGUUGAUAAGGGACUUAAAGAACUUGCCUUCUUAAAGGUUGAGGAUGCUGUUCUUAUUGCUCUUGCCCAACAUCAUCGUCCAAAUGUUGCAGAGCUAUCAGAUCCAGAUAUUAAAUCAUCCGGUGAUGAAAAAUUCACUGAGGCAUUUGACCUAAGCAAGGAGGAAGAGGAAGACGUGUUGUUCAAGCAGGCUUGGCUCAUGUAUUUCUGGAGAAGGGCUAAAACCCAUAAUGUGGAAGAGGAUAUCGCAGAGGAGCGACUGCAGAUGUGGGUUGAUCGACAUGGGCAGCAACCAACUUCACAUGAUGCUGUAGAUGUUGAGCAAGGGAUACAUGAAUUGAGGAAGCUGGGAAUCGAACAACUGCUGUGGGAAUUCUCCCGCCAGGAGGUGAAUGUUGCCGAAGGUGAAUUGUCCGAUCCUGAAGAUGAUCUGACCUAGGAGACUCGGUCCUCAAUAGGCGACGACCAUGAAUCGCUCCCAUUCAGCUGAGUGAGACCUCUGUACUAUACCGAAACCGCAGGACAUUGUAAAGAUAUUUCUGGUUUUGGUUUGGACUUCCGAGUUCCACCUCCAGAACAGUUCUUUGAUUUUAUUUUAUUUUUGUACAUAACCUGCAUCCAACAGUGUUAUGAAAGCGGCUUGAAAGGAUAAAAUAAUUCAUUAUACAUAAGUGAUGUACUUUCCAUGAGCCUAACAGAUAGCUGAAGUAGUCACUGUCUAUAUAACCAUCCCA
This 4384-nucleotide ribosomal RNA is filed under the name Triticum aestivum (bread wheat). RNAcentral's name for it is "partial small subunit ribosomal RNA". Lineage: Eukaryota; Viridiplantae; Streptophyta; Magnoliopsida; Poales; Poaceae. The record is from RNAcentral.